UGGGGAAUAUUGGACAAUGGGCGCAAGCAUGAUCCAGCCAUGCCGCGUGAGUGACGAAGGCCUUAGGGUUGUAAAGCUCUUUUGGCGGGGAAGAUAAUGACGGUACCCGCAGAAUAAGCUCCGGCUAACUUCGUGCCAGCAGCCGCGGUAAUACGAAGGGAGCUAGCGUUGUUCGGAAUCACUGGGCGUAAAGCGCACGUAGGCGGAUGUGUCAGUCAGGGGUGAAAUCCCGGAGCUCAACUUCGGAACUGCCCUUGAUACAGCACGUCUUGAGUCCGAUAGAGGUGGGUGGAAUUCCUAGUGUAGAGGUGAAAUUCGUAGAUAUUAGGAAGAACACCGGUGGCGAAGGCGGCCCACUGGAUCGGUACUGACGCUGAGGUGCGAAAGCGUGGGGAGCAAACAGGAUUAGAUACCCCCGUAGUCCCUGAGCGGGCUGGCAAGGCGCAU
Molecule: ribosomal RNA, 447 nt
Filed under: uncultured bacterium
Lineage: Bacteria
Description: bacterial SSU rRNA
Rfam family: Bacterial small subunit ribosomal RNA
Source: RNAcentral